UGCACAAUGGGCGAAAGCCUGAUGCAGCAAUGCCGCGUGUGUGAAGAAGGCCUGCGGGUYGUAAAGCACUUUCAGUAGGGAGGAAACAGUUGCGGGUUAAUAUCCCGCGACCUUGACGUUACCYACAGAAGAAGCACCGGCUAACUCUGUGCCAGCAGCCGCCGGUAAUACAGAGGGUGCAAGCGUUAAUCGGAAUUACUGGGCGUAAAGCGCGCGUAGGCGGCUUGGUCAGUCGGAUGUGAAAGCCCCGGGCUUAACCUGGGAAUUGCAUUCGAUACUGCCWGGCUAGAAUGUAGUAGAGGGAAGUGGAAUUCCGGGUGUAGCGCUVAAAUGCGUAGAUAUAUGGAGGAACAUCAGUGGCGAAGGCGACUUCCUGGACU
Molecule: ribosomal RNA, 380 nt
Filed under: uncultured Gammaproteobacteria bacterium
Lineage: Bacteria; Pseudomonadati; Pseudomonadota; Gammaproteobacteria
Description: bacterial SSU rRNA
Rfam family: Bacterial small subunit ribosomal RNA
Source: RNAcentral